UCCUGGGGGCGCAGCUGGGCUGGGCCUUUGAGCUCCCACCCGAGUCCUAGGUGUGCCAUCUAAGGUGCGCCGUGGGCAGGCAAGGGCGGUUUGCCCCGCUUAGCCCACGCCCAGUGUGCCCUGGUCCGAGCCUAGGACUGAGGCUGGGACUGCAGCCAUCCCCAGCCCCUCAGUCAGCCAGAGCUGCCCCUUCUCUGAACCCCACCUUCUCCCCUCCAGCAAUGACUGCACUGUGUUCUGCCAAAGGGUCUUCAUGUCCCGAAAUGUGCCCGCCCCACGCCUUUCUUGCCCCUGUGCUACUCCGCUCUCCCAGGACUUGAGCUGCUCCCUACCCUGGCAGAAUCUCAUGCUUCCUUCACAAGUAGCCUCCACCCCUAUACGAGACUGCACCUGGGCCCCUCCCUCCUCCCAGAAGGCCCUGUCCUACCUUUUGUCAAAUUGCUUUUCACGCCUGAUUGGGCCCAAGCAUUUGUCCACAGCAGAUGAGAUUCACAGGGGCAAGACCUGUGGCUUUCCACCUCUGCAUGCCCAGCUCCUGGGCCUGGCACUCCAUAGACAUUCAACGAACAUCUGCUGAACCCAGCUGUACUGUGUGGGCAAGGAACAGCUUUCCAGGGGUUUGGUCUGCUCUCACCGGGGGCACCGCCGAGUGGGCUUCCAGCAGCCUCGAGACCAUUCACCAGAAACAUCUCCCCCCAGUCUCAAGAGGCGGGAGACCAAGGAAAGAACAAACUCCAGGCCCAUCCACAGUGAGCUCAGCACCUUUGCCCUCAAGGGUCCAGGACUAUGCACAGAGCAGGUGGCCAAAAUACAUACGCG
Molecule: long non-coding RNA, 819 nt
Organism: Fukomys damarensis (Damara mole-rat)
Lineage: Eukaryota; Metazoa; Chordata; Mammalia; Rodentia; Bathyergidae
Exons: 3
Source: RefSeq, a predicted model, not a curated record